UCCGUCUCUCAGAGCAGACGAAGGAUUGUUUUCCGUUUCACCGUUUGAAUUAGUUUGAUAUUUUAAGGAAAAUCUUAACAUUUUCUGAGUGUUAUGAUAGCGUGUUUAGAGAACCAGUGUGGAGAGUGUAUAAUUCUUCGAAUGUCUUUGCAUACAUAUGUAGGCCUACGGGAGAUUGUGGAUUCCACUGGGUGCCAUAGACGGUGAGAAAUAGAUGGGUACAACCAGAGCAAUCAGCCUGCUCACAGAAUGUAGUGGCCAAAGGCGGCAGGAGGGAAAACUCAAGUGGAGAACCCAGUUUGGUAUUCGUCUGGUGGAAAGAAAUUUUGAAGUACAGGAGCCUAGAUAAAAGAGGAUGAAGAACUGGAGCAAACUUUUGUCAAGGACUGCGAUUAGAUGAAGACUACAGGACAUAGUGGUCAUCGGUUGAAAGUUUUGAAUGUAAUCGGUCGCUGGUUUGAGUAGAAUGAACACAUGGCCAAAAAUCAGUGAUGAUGCAUAUUAAGGAAUCGACAAACUUCAAGAAAAUCCUUCACUCCAAGUUGCAAGCUCAAUUGGAGGUCUGUGGCUUCAAGAUCAGGAAUCAGAAGCAUAUGUAUCAGGAUUCAAAGUUCAGGAUUUAUUCUUAAUUUUGAAAGUUCCUGUGUAGAAGUGUUUACAUAGAGGCUCUAAGUAUUUGGAUAUUGUCUAAUACAAGUUACCAGUUCUUUUGAGUAACGCUACAGAACCCAUCUUGCUGCUCAUUAAUUAUGUUUCUCUUCCUAAAAUAUCUAGUGAUUUGCUGCCAUUGAUUUUCUUCGCAUAAGAUACUAGUGCUUCGAAUCUUAGACGUACUCACGUCUUUCAUUUUAGAUUUUCAAGAAAGAAUUGUCUUAAAAUUACUAAAUCUCUAUAAUUUUCAACUCUAUAUAACUUAAGUCAUCCAUUCUAACAACUUUGGUCACAGUGUUAGAUUUUUUUCUAAAUCAUGGAACAUACUAAGUCAUUCUACAUUUACUUGGAGCUUUGUCAUUAUAAAUCUCACUCUUAUCAGUGUAUUAGCGUCUGGGGAAGCUUUUCCGCAAAGAAUUUCUCACAUGACGUAUCGUGAACGUGGAAUAAGGUUAUUCAGUAAUUUACAGUUACAGCCAGAUUAGUUUUGAUUAUCUGUGAUAGUUUUACUUGUAAGUCUGCCAAUUCUUAAUCUCUGUGAUGAUAUCGUGUCAGCUCCAUGAAUUGGUAUUUCAGUAAAUUUAGGGCAUCAUCGUCUAUAAAUUAUUAGAAUUCCGAAGUGCCCAGAGAACAUUUAAAUCAUAA
Long non-coding RNA from Macrobrachium nipponense, 1296 nucleotides. RefSeq lists it as uncharacterized. The transcript has 3 exons. Lineage: Eukaryota; Metazoa; Arthropoda; Malacostraca; Decapoda; Palaemonidae. The record is from RefSeq and is a predicted model, not a curated record.